UUGAGUACAGAAGAGGAGAGUGGAAUUCCACGUGUAGCGGUGAAAUGCGUAGAUAUGUGGAGGAACACCAGUGGCGAAGGCGACUCUCUGGUCUGUAACUGACGCUGAGGCGCGAAAGCGUGGGGAGCAAACAGGAUUAGAUACCCUGGUAGUCCACGCCGUAAACGAUGAGUGCUAGGUGUUAGGGGUUUCGAUGCCCUUAGUGCCGAAGUUAACACAUUAAGCACUCCGCCUGGGGAGUACGGCCGCAAGGCUGAA
Molecule: ribosomal RNA, 258 nt
Filed under: uncultured Caryophanales bacterium
Lineage: Bacteria; Bacillati; Bacillota; Bacilli; Caryophanales
Description: uncultured Bacillales bacterium partial 16S ribosomal RNA
Rfam family: Bacterial small subunit ribosomal RNA
Source: RNAcentral